Molecule: non-coding RNA, 94 nt
Organism: Clostridium collagenovorans DSM 3089
Lineage: Bacteria; Bacillati; Bacillota; Clostridia; Eubacteriales; Clostridiaceae
Source: Rfam
UAACCUAUACCGAGAGGUAUAACUGAACAUUCAGAAGUCAGUUCAAGUCAUAGUACUGUAGGAGCUUCUUCGAAAGUUGAGGUUAGGGAAGGAC